This 253-nucleotide ribosomal RNA is filed under the name uncultured bacterium. RNAcentral describes it as "partial 16S ribosomal RNA". It matches the Rfam family "Bacterial small subunit ribosomal RNA", at positions 524 to 776 of the family's 1533-position model. The record is from RNAcentral.
UACGUAGGGUGCAAGCGUUGUCCGGAAUUAUUGGGCGUAAAGACCUCGUAGGCGGUUCGUCGCGUCGGCUGUGAAAUCCCGAGGCUCAACCUCGGGUCUGCAGUCGAUACGGGCGGACUGGAGUUCGGCAGGGGAGACUGGAAUUCCUGGUGUAGCGGUGAAAUGCGCAGAUAUCAGGAGGAACACCGGUGGCGAAGGCGGGUCUCUGGGCCGAUACUGACGCUGAGGAGCGAAAGCGUGGGGAGCGAACAGG